CCUACGGGCGGCAGCAGUGGGGAAUAUUGCGCAAUGGGCGAAAGCCUGACGCAGCGACGCCGCGUGAGGGAUGAAGGUCUUCGGAUCGUAAACCUCUGUCAGCAGGGAAGAACGGUCACUGUGCUAAUCAGCAGUGAAUUGACGGUACCUGCAAAGGAAGCACCGGCUAACUCCGUGCCAGCAGCCGCGGUAAUACGGAGGGUGCGAGCGUUAAUCGGAAUUACUGGGCGUAAAGCGCUCGUAGGCGGUAUGUCAAGUCAAGGGUGAAAUCCCCGCGCUCAACGUGGGAACUGCCUUUGAAACUGGGAAACUGGAGUGUGUGAGAGGAUAGUGGAAUUCCAGGUGUAGGAGUGAAAUGCGUAGAGAUCUGGAGGAACAUCAGUGGCGAAGGCGACUAUCUGGCACAUAACUGACGCUGAGGAGCGAAAGCGUGGGUAGCAAACAGGAUUAGAUACCCCAGUAGUC
This 465-nucleotide ribosomal RNA is filed under the name uncultured bacterium. RNAcentral's name for it is "partial 16S ribosomal RNA". It matches the Rfam family "Bacterial small subunit ribosomal RNA", at positions 338 to 795 of the family's 1533-position model. The record is from RNAcentral.